RNAcentral lists this ribosomal RNA (333 nucleotides) under uncultured bacterium. Its description in RNAcentral is "bacterial SSU rRNA". It matches the Rfam family "Bacterial small subunit ribosomal RNA", at positions 29 to 341 of the family's 1533-position model. The record is from RNAcentral.
AACGAACGCUGGCGGCGUGGAUAAGACAUGCAAGUCGAACGCUUAUCCUUGUGUAGCAAUACAUGAGGGUAGGAGUGGCGCAAGGGUGCGUAACACGUGGGUAAUUUGCCGUGAAGUCCGGGAUAACUUGCUGAAAGGCGAGCUAAUACCGGAUGUGGAAAUUGGAAGGCAUCUUUUGAUUUCUGAAGUUGGGGACCGCAAGGCCUGACGCUUUACGAUAAGCCCGCGGCCAUCAGCUAGUUGGUGAGGUAACGGCUCACCAAGGCUAAGACGGGUAGCUGGUCUGAGAGGACGACCAGCCACACUGGAACUGAGACACGGUCCAGACACCUA